RNAcentral lists this ribosomal RNA (279 nucleotides) under uncultured Staphylococcus sp. RNAcentral describes it as "partial 16S ribosomal RNA". It matches the Rfam family "Bacterial small subunit ribosomal RNA", at positions 83 to 355 of the family's 1533-position model. The record is from RNAcentral. Lineage: Bacteria; Bacillati; Bacillota; Bacilli; Caryophanales; Staphylococcaceae.
CCUUUGACGUUAGCGGCGGACGGGUGAGUAACACGUGGGUAACCUACCUAUAAGACUGGGAUAACUUCGGGAAACCGGAGCUAAUACCGGAUAAUAUUUCGAACCGCAUGGUUCGAUAGUGAAAGGUGGUUUUGCCAUCACUUAUAGAUGGACCCGCGCCGUAUUAGCUAGUUGGUAAGGUAACGGCUUACCAAGGCGACGAUACGUAGCCGACCUGAGAGGGUGAUCGGCCACACUGGAACUGAGACACGGUCCAGACUCCUACGGGAGGCAGCAGUC